UUCGGGCGAGGCCGCGGUCCAAGUCCCUUGGAACAGGGCGUCGCAGAGGGUGAGAAUCCCGUACGCGGCCGAUGGUCGAGCCCGUGUGAAGCCCUUUCGACGAGUCGAGUUGUUUGGGAAUGCAGCUCUAAAUGGGUGGUAAAUUUCAUCUAAAGCUAAAUAUCUGUCAGAGACCGAUAGCGCACAAGUAGAGUGAUCGAAAGAUGAAAAGCACUUUGAAAAGAGAGUCAAACAGUACGUGAAAUUGUUGAAAGGGAAGCGCUUGCAACGAGACUCGUUCGCGGGUGUUCAGCCGUCCUUCGGGGCGGUGCACUCUCCCGCGUUUCGGGCCAGCGUCGGUUUCGGCGGUCGGAUAAAGGCCUUGGGAACGUAGCUCUCUUCGGGGAGUGUUAUAGCCUGGGGUGUAAUGCGGCCAGCUGGGACCGAGGAUCGCGCAUUCGCUAGGAUGUUGGCGUAAUCGUUGUCAGCGACCCGUCUUGAAACACGGACCAAGGAGUCGACCAAUCUGGCAAGUUUUAGGGCGUAAACCCCUGAAGCGCAAUGAAAGUAAACGUAGGUGGGAGCCUUCGGGUGCACCAUCGACCGAUCCUGAUGUCUUCGGAUGGAUUUGAGUAUGAGCCCGGCUGGUCGGACCCGAAAGAUGGUGAACUAUGCGUGAAUAGGUGAGCUAAUUUAUAAAUUCAGCGAAUUGUAAAACGUUUCUAACAAAUCAAUAGGGUGAAGCCAGAGGAAACUCUGGUGGAGGCUCGCAGCGGUUCUGACGUGCAAAUCGAUCGUCAAAUUUGCGCAUAGGGGCGAAAGACUAAUCGAACUAUCUAGUAGCUGGUUCCCGUCGAAGUUUCCCUCAGGAUAGCAGCAACGAAAACAGUCUCAUGAGGUAGAGCAAACGAUUAGAGGUCUUGGGGUUGUAUU
Molecule: ribosomal RNA, 912 nt
Filed under: Ocellularia aff. laeviusculoides Lumbsch 20206a
Lineage: Eukaryota; Fungi; Ascomycota; Lecanoromycetes; Ostropales; Graphidaceae
Description: eukaryotic LSU rRNA
Rfam family: Eukaryotic large subunit ribosomal RNA
Source: RNAcentral